Lolium rigidum is the source of this 3799-nucleotide RNA transcript. It is a transcript of the gene named pentatricopeptide repeat-containing protein At1g09820-like, with no coding region annotated. The record is from RefSeq and is a predicted model, not a curated record. The transcript is spliced from 6 exons. NCBI's taxonomy places the organism in Eukaryota, Viridiplantae, Streptophyta, Magnoliopsida, Poales, Poaceae.
AUGCCGCUCCGCACGCUGCUCCGGCACCUAGCCGCCGGGCGCUUCGCCCGCGUGCAGGCUCUCACGGGCACGACCACGGCGGCGGCGGCGCACGGCGUCCUCCACCUCCUCCUCCGCACCGCGCCGCUCCCUCCCCUGCCCCACCUAGUCUCCCUCGCGCGCUGGUCGCGCGCCCACUUCCGCGCGCCGCUCCCGCUCCCGCUCCACGCGCUCCUCCUCGCUCGCCUCGCCUCCCACAGGCUCUACCCGCUGCUCCGCUCCGAGCUCCACGCCCUCGCUGCCGCUCGCUUACACUCCCCGCCUUCCAUCCUCCGCGCCCUCCCCGCCGCCUCCUCCCCCACCGCCCCGCCGCUCAUCGCGGACAUGCUCGUCUGUACGCUCGCUACGGAUUCCCAGCCCUUGCCAGCGUACGAGGCUUUCCUCUUCGCCGGAGACAACUACCCGCGCCACCGCCCCUUUGUCUUCUCGGUGAACCGCCUUCUAUCCGCCCUCGUCGACGCUGGCCGGGCCGACCUCGCCGAGAGGGCUUUCAGGGCGGCGCUCCGGCGGCGGGUAUCGCCGGACCUUUUCACUUUCAACAUCGUCAUCUCCGGGCUCUGCAAGGACGGCCAGCUCAGGAAGGCUGGCGAUGUGGCCAAGGACAUCAGGGCGUGGGGGCUGACUCCCUCUGCCGUCACCUACAAUACUCUCAUCGCUGGAUACUGCAAGAGGGGUCGUACCGGGAGGAUGUACCAUGUGGAUACACUCUUGAAGGAGAUGAUCGAGGCUGGGAUCUCGCCAGAUGAGGUAACAUUCAAUGUGUUGAUUAAUGGGUAUUGCAGUGACUCGAACCUUGCUGCUGCGCUGAGAGUCUUUGAGGAGAUGAAGGAGCAGGGGAUUGCGGCGAGCGCGGUGACAUACGCUGCACUUGUUUGUGGUUUCUGUGGCGAGGGGAAGGUAGAGGAAGGGGUGAAGCUAGUGGAUGAGAUGCAGGAUUUGGGGCUGGCGCCUAAUGUGGCUACCAUGAACAGUGUGCUGAAUGGGUUUUGCAAGAAGGGCAUGAUGGCAGAUGCUGAGAAUUGGAUUCAUGGUAUGGUGCAGAGGAGUGUUGAACCUAAUGUCGUUACCUACACUGUUUUGAUCGAUGGAUAUCGUCGGCUCGGCAAAAUGAAGGAUGCAGUGGCAGUGAUGGACGCGAUGGCAGGUAAGGGGAUUAGUCCAAAUGUAAGAUCGUACAAUUGCCUGAUAGCUGGGUUUACCCAUAAUGGGGAUUGGAGGAGUGUUUCUGGCCUUCUCGAUGAGAUGAAGGAGAAAGGUGUUUGUGCUGAUAUUGUUACUUACAAUACACUCAUUGGUGCCCUGUGCUGCAAAGGGGACGUACGGAAAGCCGUAAGGCUUUUGGAUGAAAUGGUGAUGGUUGGCGUGGAGCCAAAGCAUGUGACUUACAACACCAUAAUACAUGGAUACUGUGAGAAGGGGAACAUCAAGUCUGCCUAUGAAAUUAGGACCAGGAUGGAGAAAGAUAGGAAACGGGCAAAUGUGGUCACAUACAAUGUGUUCAUCAAGUACCUUUGUAGAAUGGGGAAGAUGGAGGAGGCUAAUGAGCUCCUGAAUGAGAUGUUGGAGAAAGGUCUCGUUCCAAAUGAGGUUACCUAUGAAACAAUCAAGGAGGGGAUGAUGGAGAAAGGUUAUGUCCCCGAUGUUAGAGGACUCACUUGCUCAGAAUCCUCUCAAAACCUUUCAUCUACCUGAACACAUGACACCCCUGCAGCGGCCUGCGAUGAACCGGCUCCGGCGUGCCACUGCAGCUCCCCUCCACCCUGCUUCGACCAGGUCAACUUCGCGCUGCCCAGCCAGCGGAUGCCCAUAUCAGACCUCUUCACCUGAAUGACGCUCGUAGAGUGGUUCACCGUGUCUGUGCUGGUUUAUUGGCAUACUACCCAGGACUUUUGAUUGUCCCAGAUUAGAUAAUUUGAUCGUUUGAGAGUUCUGUAACCCUAACAAUAGGGAGGAAAGUUCCUCCCAGCAGCCACCAUCAAUCCCUAUCUCAGGUUAGACCCUCACCUCUGUCCACAUGGUAUCAGAGCAAGGGGCACUGAGGGCAGUGUUGAUCUGGAAGCCUAGACUGCUGCGGUAGCUAGGAGGAAGAGGAAGGGAGCAGGCUGUUGCGGUGGCUGGGGGAAGAGGAAGGGAGCAGGCUGCUGCGGCGGCAAGGAGGGAAAGGCAGUGACAAGUAAGGAUAUGAAGAGGACAUCCUGCGGGUAAGCCCUUUGAUGUUUCUGAGAGGUUAGUUUGGUGUCAAGCUGGCUAGGGGUGCGAAAGGCAGUACCACAGCAACGAAGGCAAGCAUAGGGGACAACGGGGAUUUGACCAAGGCUCUGGAGAAGCUAGCACUACCAAAGGAUGAAAGGAGAUGGAGGAGGAUCUGGAGGGGGGCAAUCGUUUCCCAUACCGACAUCCGUCAGAAACUUGAGCUGCUGGCUAAUGAAAUCAAGCUGGAAGGAGUGACCAACUAUCUCCGGUGGUCAAGGAGGGCGCUGUUGAUUUUGAACUCGAAAGGGCAGGAUGAAAGCUGCAGAACCAGCAGACAAGACCAGUUCUGAAUGGAAGAAGUGGAAUGCCAUAAGUUCGCUGAUUGUGGCAUGGUUGCUUAACUCUUUGGUUCCUAAUAUUGCUGCUUCUGUAGAGCACUCACAAAGGAGGUAUGGGACACCCUAUCAAAUCUCUAUUCUGGAAAGGAAAAUAUUAUGUUGAUUGCUUAGAUUGAGGAUAAAGUGCAUGACUUGCAAAAAGGAGACAAAACUAUAAUGGCAUAUGUGGCUGAGCUGCAGCAUCUUUGGGGAGAUUUAGAUCAUGUUGAUCCUCUAGAACUUGCCCAUGGGGAAUGCGUGAGUGCUGCUACGAGCUGGAUUGAACGCCGGCGGGUUAUGAAGUUCUUGAAAAGUCUUAAUCAAGAUUUUGAGGGAAGAAGGGCUGCUUUAGUGCAUCAAACCACUACCCCUUCUCUCAAAGAAGCCAUUGCAGCUAUGUCCAGAGAGGAAGUGCGUCUGAAUAUGGCAAAGGGCAGCGAUUAUGUCCCUCAUUCGACCUUCUACACUAUCGAGAGACAGGAGAUGAGAGACUGCUAUACUUGUGGACAGAAGGGACACUUGAAGCAACAGUGUACCUCCUUUGCUACACCCGAUAGGGGGGAGAGGGGGGUACAUAUAUGGUAGAGGAAGCUGGAAGAGGUGAUGGUAGAGGUGGUGGACAACAAUAUGUCAGAGGUGGUGGACAACAAUAUGGUAGAGGUAUGGCAGCAGCUUUAGAGCCAACAGCCAGGGUCAAUGAAAGAAAGAAGGACAAAAUGAAGCAACCUUUGGAAACUUUGCUCACUAUGUCUACAAAGAUGAAGGUGGGGCUACACCUUCAGCUUCCAUAUUCCAUGGCAUAUCUAAACGAAUAAAGAGCCCUCACGUGGAAGGUGGAACACCAGAACGCUAUGUGUAACUCGGUGAUGGGAUGUCUCUUGUACCCCCUUCGCUCCAUUCAUCUUCUAUCUUAUACGAAGAAACUUGGUCGUUUAUUUCUCAUCAACUGUAGUGGAGUUUUAGUGCUUGUCUCGUUGCCUGGUAUCUUCAGAAUUUGCACUUAAUUGGUUAAAGUUGUAAUGCAACUUGUUUGUUACUUGCUUCUAGUACUUUGGUUGAAGUCAUGGACGGGGCCUCUGGUUAUGUCGAAACUAAUUACUUGUGGUACGUUUUUUAGUUGGUUCGCGGAAUGAGAAUUGUUGGUUGUUGUUAAUUUUGUUGAUGACCAAAAAUAUGCAUAGUAUCGAGUA